Lemur catta (Ring-tailed lemur) is the source of this 141-nucleotide small nuclear RNA. RefSeq annotates it as U4 spliceosomal RNA. The transcript has a single exon. Lineage: Eukaryota; Metazoa; Chordata; Mammalia; Primates; Lemuridae. The record is from RefSeq and is a predicted model, not a curated record.
AGCUUUGAGCGUGGCAGUAUCAUAGCCAAGGAGGUUUAUCCCCAGAGUGAUUAUUGCUAAUUGAAAACUUUUUUCCAAUACCCUGCCAUGAUAACUUGCAAUAUAGUGAGCAUUGGCAAUUUUUGAAAGUCUUUAUGGAAA